CCUACGGGUGGCUGCAGUGGGGAAUAUUGGACAAUGGGGGGAACCCUGAUCCAGCCAUGCCGCGUGUGUGAAGAAGGCCCUCGGGUUGUAAAGCACUUUCAGUGAGGAAGAACGCCUGGUGGUUAAUACCCAUCAGGAAAGACAUCACUCACAGAAGAAGCACCGGCUAACUCCGUGCCAGCAGCCGCGGUAAUACGGAGGGUGCGAGCGUUAAUCGGAAUUACUGGGCGUAAAGCGCGCGUAGGUGGCUUGAUAAGCCGGUUGUGAAAGCCCCGGGCUCAACCUGGGAACGGCAUCCGGAACUGUCAAGCUAGAGUGCAGGAGAGGAAGGUAGAAUUCCCGGUGUAGCGGUGAAAUGCGUAGAGAUCGGGAGGAAUACCAGUGGCGAAGGCGGCCUUCUGGACUGACACUGACACUGAGGUGCGAAAGCGUGGGUAGCAAACAGGAUUAGAUCCCUAGUAGUC
This 464-nucleotide ribosomal RNA is filed under the name Vreelandella stevensii. RNAcentral describes it as "partial 16S ribosomal RNA". It matches the Rfam family "Bacterial small subunit ribosomal RNA", at positions 338 to 795 of the family's 1533-position model. Lineage: Bacteria; Pseudomonadati; Pseudomonadota; Gammaproteobacteria; Oceanospirillales; Halomonadaceae. The record is from RNAcentral.